UACAGAGGGUGCGAGCGUUGUCCGGAAUCACUGGGCGUAAAGGGCGCGUAGGUGGUGGCUUAAGCGUGCGGUGAAAGCUCGGGGCUCAACUCCGAGUCGGCCGUGCGAACUGGGCUCACUGGAGCAUAGUAGAGGCAGGUGGAAUUCCUGGUGUAGCGGUGAAAUGCGCAGAUAUCAGGAGGAACACCGGGUGGCGAAGGCGGGUCUCUGGGCAGUAACUGACGCUGAGGAGCGAAAGCGUGGGGAGCGAACAGG
RNAcentral lists this ribosomal RNA (255 nucleotides) under uncultured bacterium. Its description in RNAcentral is "partial 16S ribosomal RNA". It matches the Rfam family "Bacterial small subunit ribosomal RNA", at positions 524 to 776 of the family's 1533-position model. The record is from RNAcentral.